UACAUGGGGUGCAAACGUUGCUCGGAAUCAUUGGGCGUAAAGCGCGCGUAGGCGGUUACUUAAGUCGAAUGUGAAAGCCCUCGGCUUAACUGAGGAAGUGCAUCCGAAACUGAGUAGCUAGAGUACGAAAGAGGGUCGCGGAAUUCCCGGUGUAGAGGUGAAAUGCGUAGAGAUCGGCAGGAACACCCAGGGGGAAACCAGCCGACUGGGCAGCUGCUGACGCUGAGGUGCGAGAGCGUGGGGAGCGAACCGG
RNAcentral lists this ribosomal RNA (253 nucleotides) under uncultured bacterium. RNAcentral describes it as "partial 16S ribosomal RNA". It matches the Rfam family "Bacterial small subunit ribosomal RNA", at positions 524 to 776 of the family's 1533-position model. The record is from RNAcentral.